AUGGGCAGCGGGAGCAGCAGGAGCAGGAGAGUGCGGAGGCAGUUGUGCAGCCCUGCUAAGAACCCAGGGGUCCCUGGUGUCCAGGAGUUGAGCGAUGGGCAGCAGGGCACUGAGGCCUGCCAGGAGGAGAAGGACGCGAAGGAUGGACAGGAGGAAGGCUCAAAGAAAGGGGCCCAAGGAGACUGCGCUGUCCAAGACUCUGAGUCUCCCCGAAAGGGGGAGGAGAAUGAGUCGGAGUCAGAAUCACUGCUACUGGACCAGGUAUUGGCCGAGUCGGAAGCCUGGGACCCAGCAUUCAAACCCUGGCCAAGUCGGGCCUCCAGCUCUCGGCCGGGGCCGAAUCCACACCUGGGUGGGGCUCCCCACUCCCAGGCGAACCUCAGCAGCAGCGGAGAGCGCAAGGUAUCUCCUGUGCAGAGCACUCAGGAUAUAGAGAACAAUAACACCUUUGAGUAAGUAUCAUGGAAAUCCUGUUUUUACCAGUAUAAUGGGGAUAUUAGCCAAUGAGGGCCCAGCCCUUAGAACAUGAUUGUUCUGCAGACAAUUAGUAGACUUUUAAUCAUCAUAUCAGUACCAGCCCCUCAAAUCACUCCUAUCCCUCCCAAACCCACCUGGAGUCACUUUCCUAGUCCUUGACCUUAUAUUUAUAUCCAUUUAGUGAUUUCAUCAGUUCCCACGAGUUGAAUUAUCAUCUCUAUUCAGAUGACUGCAAAAUGUAUGUAUCUAGACCUAUGAGUCUGAAUUUCUUAUCACCAACAACCAGCUGGAUAUCUUCAUCCAGAUAUUCCACUUACAUCUCAAACUUAAUACAUACAAAAUAGAACUCAUUAUCUCUCCCAUCCCCCAAACUUACCUGUUAUUAAGCUUUUCUUAUUUCUGUUGAGGGUAACACCCAGCAGUUUGCUGGGGCCAGCUCUAACCAGCUUGAAAGAUUAUUAGAUUUCAAGUGUGAGUAUUUAUACCUUAGAAAUCACCAACCUCUACAAAUCAGGGCUUGGUUUAUUGUUUUGUUGAUUAUCUAGACUUAAGAAAAUGUUAAUGAUAUAGAUUCAACUUAGAAAUAUAUGUGCAUUUUUUCCAGAUAGCCCAGUGGUUAUACAUUUUACCAGCACACUCCCGAUACUACCACCCUUCUAGUCAUCCAGAUUUCCAACUGUGAAGUCAUCCUCUUCCUUAUACUACAUAUCCAGGCAGUUUCCAAGUCUUUAUCCAUUCUACUUCCAUAAUAUAUCCAUCUUUUCUCUCUAGUCCUUGUUGGCCUGAAUUCAGGCCCUUAUUAUCUCAGAUCUAGACUAUUAUUAGAAAGCUAGCCUCCUAAUUAUUCUUCCUGCUUCUGGUCUCUCCUUUUUCCUAUCCAUCCUUUAUGCAACUGCCAAAAUAUUCUUCCUAAAGUAUAGGUCUGACCAUGCCACCAUAGUCACCACCCCACCCACACACCCUCCAGUCAAACAAGUCU
Molecule: long non-coding RNA, 1456 nt
Filed under: Phascolarctos cinereus (koala)
Lineage: Eukaryota; Metazoa; Chordata; Mammalia; Diprotodontia; Phascolarctidae
Description: lncRNA (ENSPCIG00000009804.2)
Source: RNAcentral